This 439-nucleotide ribosomal RNA is filed under the name uncultured bacterium. RNAcentral's name for it is "bacterial SSU rRNA". It matches the Rfam family "Bacterial small subunit ribosomal RNA", at positions 355 to 796 of the family's 1533-position model. The record is from RNAcentral.
UCGAGAAUCUUCGGCAAUGGGCGCAAGCCUGACCGAGCGACGCCGCGUGGAGGAUGAAGGCCUUCGGGUUGUAAACUCCUGUCGAGGGGGAGGAAGGCCGGGUCAACCGGCUUGACCGAUCCCUGGAGGAAGCACGGGCUAAGUUCGUGCCAGCAGCCGCGGUAAGACGAACCGUGCGAACGUUAUUCGGAAUCACUGGGCUUAAAGCGCGUGUAGGCGGAUGGGGACGUCGGUCGCUGAAAGCCCCCGGCUCAACCGGGGAACGGGCGCCGAAACGCCCCGUCUGGAGGGACGUAGGGGGACCUGGAACAUCCGGUGGAGCGGUGAAAUGCGUUGAGAUCGGAUGGAACGCCCGUGGCGAAAGCGAGGUCCUGGACGUCUUCUGACGCUGAGACGCGAAAGCUAGGGUAGCGAACGGGAUUAGAUACCCCCGUAGUCC